GGGGGAUCCCAAGUGCCAUUCUUAACGGGAUGGCUUUUCAUUAGUGUAAAGAGCUUUUGGAAUAAGAGCUGGGCAAGACCGGUGCCAGCCGCCGCGGUAACACCGGCAGCUCUAGUGGUAGCAAUUUUUAUUGGGCCUAAAGCGUCCGUAGCCGGUUUAAUAAGUCUCUGGUGAAAUCCUGUAGCUUAACUGUGGGAAUUGCUGGAGAUACUAUUAGACUUGAGACCGGGAGAGGUUAGAGGUACUCCCAGGGUAGAGGUGAAAUUCUGUAAUCCUGGGAGGACCGCCUGUUGCGAAGGCGUCUAACUGGAACGGUUCUGACGGUGAGGGACGAAAGUUAGGGGCGCGAACCGGAUUAGAUACCCGGGUAGUCCUAACUGUAAACGAUGCGGACUUGGUGUUGGGGUGGCUUUGAGCUGUCUCAGUGCCGAAGGGAAGCUGUUGAGUCCGCCGCCUGGGAAGUACGGUCGCAAGACUGAAACUUAA
RNAcentral lists this ribosomal RNA (486 nucleotides) under uncultured archaeon. Its description in RNAcentral is "bacterial SSU rRNA". It matches the Rfam family "Archaeal small subunit ribosomal RNA", at positions 373 to 859 of the family's 1478-position model. The record is from RNAcentral.